GAUGAAGAACGCAGCGAAAUGCGAUAAGUAGUGUGAAUUGCAGCAUUCAGUGAAUCAUCGAAUCUUUGAACGCACAUUGCGCCCUUUGGUAUUCCAAAGGGCAUGCCUGUUCGAGCGUCAUUUGUACCCUCAAGCUUUGCUUGGUGUUGGGCGUCUUGUCUCUAGCUUUGCUGGAGACUCGCCUUAAAGUAAUUGGCAGCCGGCCUACUGGUUUCGGAGCGCAGCACAAGUCGCACUCUCUAUCAGCAAAGGUCUAGCAUCCAUUAAGCCUUUUUUUCAACUUUUGACCUCGGAUCAGGUAGGGAUACCCGCUGAACUUAAGCAUAUCAAUAAGCGGAGGA
Molecule: unclassified non-coding RNA, 341 nt
Filed under: soil metagenome
Description: partial contains 5.8S ribosomal RNA, internal transcribed spacer 2, and large subunit ribosomal RNA
Rfam family: 5.8S ribosomal RNA (bases 1-120)
Source: RNAcentral